ACACCACUCCGCACAGUGCAAACGGGAGAGGACCCAAGGGAGUGCUGUCGUGGGACCUCCCAGGGAUUUGUACAAAUGAAGCAAUGCUCCCUGGCGUCCCAGAAAAUACCGCCUUCUUUCCUCCCAAUACAGGUCUGGGUGAAAGUGGACUGUGGCUCAGACCUGGGGCAUCCAGAACAUCUAACAACUGCACUGAAGAAGCUCAGGCCAUCUGGGGAGCCUGGACCAGUAGGCAGGACAAAUAAAGCAAGACAGGAGUUGGCGUUAUCAACCGAGGUCACACAGUUCCUGUGGUAUCUGAGCUAAAAUUUGAAUUCAGGUCUACCAGAUUCCAGAAACACUCUGCUACCUCCCAGCUAGACCAGGGUGCAUCUGGGUAGCAGACCACAGCAUCCACUACAGGCCUGUGGUUCCUGGUCUGUAGCUACCAACAUCACCAGAAUACCUGUUCACUCUUCCUCUUCAGGCUGUGGUGAGGAACUGAGGUUUAUUGACCCAGAGAAAGAAAUAAGAAGAAAGAAAAGGGGGUAAAUUUCUGAAAAAGAAAACAUCCCAAGUUUUUCUGUCCAGUGUAUGUGCAAUCUUCAGCAGAUCCUGUCAAGAGCUUGGGCCUCCCCCCCCUCAGAGGUGGACUCCCCUGCUCACUGCCCCCGGGGCCAGGGCUGAGUAGCUGAGUAGGCUGGACUGUGUGGGUCAGAAGAAUGACCCCGUGAAGGACUUGAGCCAUCUCUUCCUCCCUUCUUCCCUCACUAAGACAUGGGCCUGUGGCUUAGUUGGGGGAUUAGACCAGAGAAGACAAGAAAAGCCACCUUAGGCAACUGCCUUUCACAGUAGCAAGAGGAGGUUGUGAGGAAAAAGUUGAAGCCCAAGGGAAAAUCUGAGACAUGAUUUAAAGAGGCCACAAACACCUUCUUAUGGAGAAUCAGACAAGGGAAAGCAGAUAAAACUAAGAAUAUCUUUUAAACUUUUCUAAGAAGAUUUCCCCCCCAUGCAGCUAGUAAACAUCUCUUUAGAGAAUGUGUGUGGUCACAACGUUGAAGGGCUGAGCAGAUUGCCUCCCUGCCCCCAGAUGGUUUUAAAUGGCAGCAGAUAGGAGGAGGGGCACGUCUCCACUCACCACCCACCCCGCAGCCUCCUCCCCCCUCCCUCCCCCCCACCCCACCCCCCACAGCUGCACUUCCUCUGUUGCUAGUUCUGGAAGAGUGAGGGUGGCUUUUCAGACCCAGGGAUACUGACCCAGGAAUGCUGAUCCUCAGGAAGGAGAGGUUUGUAGUUUCCCCUAAAGGCCGAAGCGACCCCAUCGUCCCCCCUUGCUGCUCUGAACCACUCAGAAAUGCUAAAACAACACACAUGCGGGUUCCUGGCCAACAACAGACUACAAGUGAGCAGAGAGAGAGAAAACAAAUCCAGUCACAGGAGAGAGGAAAAUGGUCUCUCCUCCCAGAAACACUCACCAGAAAGAUAGGCAGCCCUGUAUACAUGAAGCUAAUUCACUUCACUGUACAGUUGGAAACGAACAUAACAUUGUCAAGCAAUUAUACUCCAAUAAAAAAAUUUUUUUAAAAAGAAAGAUAGGCAGCCCUGCUCUGCACCCCCAGCGCUCAGUAAAACACGGGUGUCCUGGGACUUUGGGGGUUGCAGGGCCCAAGUCAAGAUCUAAUCAGUUUUUCUUACUCCUUGAGCCAAGGUUAUGAGUAUAUGCAUUUAUCCUGAUCGUAGCUACAGCAUCUGGCUGAGUCCACACAGACUGUAGAGCACUAGACCAGCACUGAAAAUCAUGAGAACGUGGAGGCCAUGGGGGCCCGUUCACGAUACAUUCUUAAUUUAAAAUAGGUUCACAGUACAUUGCUAACAUAAAGAAAACGGUAUAUUGAGUAUGAUCCCAAACAGAAAGAAAAUGGCAUGUUAGGCAGGACCCCAACAUUUUGAGAAACAACGUAAAGAAAUUCCAUCUGCCCAGACCCGAGUGCCAGGUACAAAUAUUCAGUCUUUCUCUCAGUGAUGGGAUUAUUUUCUUUAUACUUAUCUGUGUUUUCUGAUUUUUUUCCCUACCCUGAUCAAAUGUUUCCACUGAAAUCUGAGAAAUAAAACACAAGAAGAGUGUGGUGAGAUGAGCUGUUUCCGUGGACGUGAGUACUUGUCCACAAAUGUCCAUUCACACAUGUACAUGGUAGGAAUACACGUGUGUGCACGUGUGCGUGUGUUCCAAAGCUCCGGGCUCCUCCUUCUAUUUCAACCAGGAUCCUUUCUGUCUCUGGUGAGUUCUUAGGUCCUGUGUGACCUCAGAUCACAUUUCUGGAGAGACAGUCUCCUAGUACUGCUGCCAAGCAAGGUAGCCAGUAUCUUCCACCAAGGUUUCCGGCAGGUGGCCACUCCCAGUUCCACGCCUCGAAUAAGGCCACCAGGGACCACGCCUUUGUUCUCCACCGUCACUCUCUGCGGGUGGAGAGAGGGGAGAAGGGGAGGAGCAGGAUACUUUGCUGACCUGCAGCUUUGCUCAAAUGCUGUUUGACAGAAGGGUUCACAGAUGGUGUGGCAUCCUGUAGCAUUUAGAGAGAACACCUCCAGGGAGCUUGCCGCCAACACUGAUGAGCUCCAGGAUACGAGAGAGGAGAGACUCUGCCAGCCAAGCUCCCUGGGGCUGUUGGCAUCCAGCUGAGGGUGGAAACGGACUAACAGCCUGAUCCUGCAGACUUAGGUUUCAUCCUCACUUUCAGAGGUCUGGAUCUCUUCUGACAUGAACUACUUCCUUUCCUCAAAGGCUGCUGCCAUCCCUUUCGUCUAAGCAUGUUAAAAGUCUUAAAUGCAACAAUGCACUAGGCCAGGGCUGUUCGCCUGCACCCUUUUGCUCUGUGUCCUGGUGGCACGGCUCCCAUUCUAUGGUCAUUCACUUUGUAAACACCCGUAACUUCGGAGCUACCAGGGCGCUGUCUUUGGGGUCUUAACUCCAAGCAUCACCACAUACCUGUACAUGAUUAAUAAGCAGAGUUUGGCUAAUAAGUAACAUUCAGCUUUGAUAUUAAUAACAGAUUUUUUCAAGCAAGACACAGCUGGUGACAAUUUAGUGACACAGGGUCACCUUAGUGUUUUUGAGCAUUCGUUUGGAGGAGAGACUGAAUGCUGCCAGAUGUCACCAAGCUUAAAAAAAAACAACCACAAAAAAUGUAUCCAGGGUCUGAGCGAGCAGCCUGGAGGAUGCGCGCGUGCACACACACGGCAAGGGGUUCCUGUUCUUUUCAAUGUCACAUCUGUUGUUACCUCCCGAGACCCUGUAGGUCCAUCUCAUGGACUGCAUCUCUCCCCAUCGCGAGAUCAAGCACAUUUUUCUGAACUGAAAAUCAGUGUUCUCUGUUUGGCCAUGAGUGAGAAGUGAAGAAUGGUCUGGAAAAGUUGGGGGAAAUGUGUUUCCCAGUAGUGAGGCAUCCAGCAGCAUUCCCCACUGGCCACAUUUGUUCAGCCGUAUUGAAUAACGUUCUCAGUGCUCAGUCCUUCCAGAGACUGGAGUUACGAAGAAGAAAACUCUCUGUCCUUGUGAAGCUUUGCUCCUGUGUGAAGGUGCUUUGAGUGACUUGUACAUGUUACAAGUAGAUGUUUGACCUUACUUAGCUACUGUCAGAGCUGAUGCUUCCCCCAUUGAAUCCCUUCCCAGCACAGAUAUCUCUUCUUUUUUUCUUUUUCCUAGCUCUUGUCUCAGUAGGGACUGGAGUUCUUGCUCUGAGUUCCUUUGGCCAGAGAAAGUGAUCCUUUGCUUGCUUUCUCCAAACCAUACUCUUGAGUUCAGUUCAACGGGAAAUCUCUCCUGGCUUCGAUGUUCACAUAACACCUUCCUCAAGUCAGGCCACACCUCCUUCUUCCAUCCCUCAAACUGGCUCUUCCCUCGCUCAUGGACAGGAUGCUUCUCAAGAACCUCUUCUUCAUCUUCUAAUUGUUCUCAGUGCGACAGUAGUUUUGCAACCAUCUUCCAAGUUUCUCCUUUUGAUGACCUCCUUAUCAUAAAUGAAGAUCCAGAAAUGUCUUUCUGUAUAUUAAAUACAUAAUAGAGAGAAAGUCCUGUCUUCAGCGAAA
Long non-coding RNA from Hippopotamus amphibius kiboko, 4065 nucleotides. RefSeq lists it as uncharacterized. NCBI's taxonomy places the organism in Eukaryota, Metazoa, Chordata, Mammalia, Artiodactyla, Hippopotamidae. The record is from RefSeq and is a predicted model, not a curated record. The transcript has 4 exons.